This 303-nucleotide ribosomal RNA is filed under the name uncultured bacterium. RNAcentral's name for it is "bacterial SSU rRNA". It matches the Rfam family "Bacterial small subunit ribosomal RNA", at positions 28 to 327 of the family's 1533-position model. The record is from RNAcentral.
GACGAACGCUGGCGGCGUGCUUAACACAUGCAAGUCGAGCGGUAAGGCCCUUUCGGGGGGUACACGAGCGGCGAACGGGUGAGUAACACGUGGGUGACCUGCCCUCAGCUCUGGGGAUAAGCCUGGGAAACCGGGUCUAAUACCGGAUAUGACUCCAUGACGCAUGUUGGUGGGGUGGAAAGCCUUGUGCGGCUGAGGAUGGGCCCGCGGCCUAUCAGUCUUGGUUGGUGGGGUGAUGGCCUACCAAGGCGACGACGGGUAGCCGGCCUGAGAGGGCGACCGGCCACACUGGGACUGAGACAC